CGCGCAGGCGGCCUAUCAAGUCAGGCGUGAAAGCCCCGGGCUUAACCUGGGAAUUGCGCUUGGGACUGAUGGGCUUGAGUACGGGAGAGGAGAGUGGAAUUCCCAGUGUAGAGGUGAAAUUCGUAGAUAUUGGGAAGAACACCGGUGGCGAAGGCGGCUCUCUGGACCGUAACUGACGCUGAGGCGCGAAAGCGUGGGGAGCAAACAGGAUUAGAUACCCUGGUAGUCCACGCUGUAAACGAUGUGCGCUAGACGUUGGAAGGCCUAGCCUUCCGGUGUCGCAGCUAACGCUUUAAGCGCACCGCCUGGGGAGUACGGCCGCAAGGUUAA
Molecule: ribosomal RNA, 330 nt
Filed under: uncultured bacterium
Lineage: Bacteria
Description: bacterial SSU rRNA
Rfam family: Bacterial small subunit ribosomal RNA
Source: RNAcentral